GCUGGAUUAGCUCAGAGGCAGAGCAAUCGCCUUGUAAGCGAUAGGUCGAGAUUUCGAAAUUCUCAUCCAGCACCA
Molecule: transfer RNA, 75 nt
Filed under: Fodinibius sp.
Lineage: Bacteria; Pseudomonadati; Balneolota; Balneolia; Balneolales; Balneolaceae
Description: tRNA-Thr
Rfam family: tRNA
About the family: Transfer RNA (tRNA) molecules are approximately 80 nucleotides in length. Their secondary structure includes four short double-helical elements and three loops (D, anti-codon, and T loops). Further hydrogen bonds mediate the characteristic L-shaped molecular structure. tRNAs have two regions of fundamental functional importance: the anti-codon, which is responsible for specific mRNA codon recognition, and the 3' end, to which the tRNAs corresponding amino acid is attached (by aminoacyl-tRNA synthetases). tRNAs cope with the degeneracy of the genetic code in two manners: having more than one tRNA (with a specific anti-codon) for a particular amino acid; and 'wobble' base-pairing, i.e. permitting non-standard base-pairing at the 3rd anti-codon position.
Source: RNAcentral